CUCUUUACUUGGACAGGGUCAAUGGGCGAUCAAAAAGGCCCAUGGCCUAGGUUGGUGACCUCCAUUGCACUUCGGAGGGCGCCCACCUAAGGUCGGCCCCAAUAGUCAAGCCUACAUCAUAAUUGUGACAGCGGGCACCUGCAUUCGCGUGGCCCCU
RNAcentral lists this small nuclear RNA (157 nucleotides) under Nicotiana sylvestris (wood tobacco). RNAcentral's name for it is "U1 spliceosomal RNA". It matches the Rfam family "U1 spliceosomal RNA". Rfam says of the family: U1 is a small nuclear RNA (snRNA) component of the spliceosome (involved in pre-mRNA splicing). Its 5' end forms complementary base pairs with the 5' splice junction, thus defining the 5' donor site of an intron. There are significant differences in sequence and secondary structure between metazoan and yeast U1 snRNAs, the latter being much longer (568 nucleotides as compared to 164 nucleotides in human). The record is from Rfam by way of RNAcentral. Lineage: Eukaryota; Viridiplantae; Streptophyta; Magnoliopsida; Solanales; Solanaceae.